RNAcentral lists this ribosomal RNA (232 nucleotides) under uncultured bacterium. RNAcentral's name for it is "partial 16S ribosomal RNA". It matches the Rfam family "Bacterial small subunit ribosomal RNA", at positions 15 to 236 of the family's 1533-position model. The record is from RNAcentral.
GAUCAUGGCUCAGGAUGAACGCUAGCUACAGGCUUAACACAUGCAAGUCGAGGGGAAACGAUAUUGGAAGCUUGCUUCCGAUAAGCGUCGACCGGCGCACGGGUGGGUAACGCGUAUCCAACCUGCCCACCACUUGGGGAUAACCUUGCGAAAGUAAGACUAAUACCCAAUGAUAUCUCUAGAAGACAUCUGAAAGAGAUUAAAGAUUUAUCGGUGAUGGAUGGGGAUGCGU